RNAcentral lists this long non-coding RNA (1317 nucleotides) under Camarhynchus parvulus. RNAcentral's name for it is "lncRNA (ENSCPVG00000018166.1)". Lineage: Eukaryota; Metazoa; Chordata; Aves; Passeriformes; Thraupidae. The record is from RNAcentral.
CACGGUGAAACUGCUGGAAACGGGGGGAACCCAGGAGGGAGAGAGGUCCCGGUGGGCUGGGGAAGCCGCUGCAGCUGCAGCCGCUGCCGGUAGCAACACGCCCGCUUUGGAGCCGGUGUCCGGCCCCUGUGCAUUCCUUGCGGUGCAUCCCGGCUCUCCCCGUGCCCUCCGGGCUCGGCUGACACACGUGCCUUGGCCACACGUGGCAGCCGGGGAGGCACUCCUCAAGGAUGGGCUCCCCAGCUCUGAGCUGGUACCGGCUGCUGAGGGAGCAGAGCAUCCCCGGAGGAAGGCACAGGAGUUGGGGUUCCAGAGUGAGAAUGGGCUCCACAAGGGCUGAGACCCCGCAGGAGCUCAGCCAGGGCUGCCCAGCCCGAUGCUGCAAACAGAUCUCGGGGCUGGCCCAGCUCUCACCCUGCUGCUCUUCACCUGGAGAGAGCCAGGAGAGAAAAUCCCAUCUCCUGUCCCCCUCCUCGGCAGGCCUGUGCCUCCUGCGAGCAGCAGGUUGGGCCGGGCUGGGCUGCAAACAUCCAUCCCUGCCUGCUCGGCACUGCCCCGACUUGCCUGCUCCGCGGGUCCUGCGGCGGCAGCAGCGGCUCCCGCCCGCCCCUCCACCGCCACUGACUCACCGCCCAAAAAUGGGGAGGAGGGGGAGCUGCCAGCCGGGCGGGAAGGGGCUGCGAGGUCCCCAAGGGAACCUGUGUGCUGCUCUCAGCAGCCAGAGCAGCCAGAAGCCCCCCUGCCCCACGGGGCUGCUGCUCUCCCCACUCUGGGGGUCCCUCCCAGCACCAUCCAGGCCUGGGGACUGCUCUGCUUGAUCACACCAGUGGGGUGCACCGUGAACCCCGUUCCUGAGAGCCCCAUGGAGCUGUCAGGACGCGGAUGGACCCUGAUAGAGCUGUGCUCCAGUAUCACAGAAUAUUCUGAUUUGGAAGGGACCCUAUCCAGCCCUUCUGCUCCAGCAUCCUGUCCCUCUGCUCCCUUUGCAACCUUGAACCCUUUAGGGUGUCUGGGAGCCCCUAAAGGCAACCAAUGUGCUUCUCAAAUCCUUGUCUCAGCACAGCAUCCACGCCCUGCAACACCCCGGGGGACCCGGAGCACUGCAGGCAGGGUAAGAGCAAAAAUAAUAUUGACAGUGGCUCUGGCCACACAGCCCCUGCUGCCAGCCUGCCCUGGGCCACACCUGGGGGGCUGCUCCAGCCAGGAAAACAUCUCCACCAAGCAAAUAAACACCACCCCAUCCAUGCUGCUGGCUCGGCUCUCAAACACGAUCCCACGCAGAGCCUGAACUAAAAUUAAUUUCAACUGGGAAAACAA